ACAGACGCUAUAGAAAGCGUUGUCUAGGUACGCAGUACGCAUAAGUUUUAAUUAUUAUUCGACCGCAGCUGGAGCAUUCACUUCCUCGAUAUCACUGCUAAUCCGUCAAAUACUAUGUUAUGAAGGCUCACAUAAACACGGACGUGCACUGACCUCGGAAGUUGG
This 165-nucleotide long non-coding RNA is filed under the name Neodiprion pinetum (white pine sawfly). RNAcentral describes it as "uncharacterized LOC124216717". Lineage: Eukaryota; Metazoa; Arthropoda; Insecta; Hymenoptera; Diprionidae. The record is from RNAcentral.